UGCUAUCGGAUUGAUACUAAGCCAUGCGAGUCUUUGUAGCAAUACAAGGCGGACUGCUCAGUAACACGUAGUCAAUCUAACCUAUGGACGGGGAUAACCUCGGGAAACUGAGAAUAAUACCCGAUAGAUCAUUAUUCCUGGAAUGGUUUAUGGUUCAAAUGAUUCGUCGCCAUAGGAUGGGACUGCGGUCUAUCAGCUUGUUGGUGAGGUAAUGGCUCACCAAGGCUAUAACAGAUACGGGCUCUGAGAGGAGAGGCCCGGAGAUGGGUACUGAGACACGGACCCAGGCCCUAUGGGGCGCAGCAGGCGAGAAAACUUUGCAAUGUGCGAAAGCACGACAAGGUUAAUCCGAGUGGUUUCUGCUAAAGAGAUCUUUUGUCAGUCCUAAAAACACUGAUGAAUAAGGGGUGGGCAAGUUCUGGUGUCAGCCGCCGCGGUAAAACCAGCACCUCAAGUGGUCAGGAGGAUUAUUGGGCCUAAAGCAUCCGUAGCCGGCUGUGUAAGUUUUCGGUUAAAUCUACAUGCUCAACAUGUAGGCUGCCGGGAAUACUGUACAGCUAGGGAGUGGGAGAGGUAGACGGUACUCCGUAGGAAGGGGUAAAAUCCUUUUGAUCUAUGGAUGACCACCCUGUGGCGGGAGGCGGUCUACUAGAACACGUCCCGACGGUGAGGGAUGAAAAGCUGGGGGAGCAAACCCGGAUUAGAUACCCGGGUAGUCCCAGCUGUAAACAAAUGCAAACUC
This 742-nucleotide ribosomal RNA is filed under the name uncultured marine archaeon. RNAcentral describes it as "bacterial SSU rRNA". It matches the Rfam family "Archaeal small subunit ribosomal RNA", at positions 28 to 769 of the family's 1478-position model. The record is from RNAcentral.